GCCGAAAUAGCUCAGUUGGGAGAGCGUUAGACUGAAGAUCUAAAGGUCCCUGGUUCAAGUCCGGCUUUUGGCA
Molecule: non-coding RNA, 73 nt
Organism: Carassius carassius (crucian carp)
Lineage: Eukaryota; Metazoa; Chordata; Actinopteri; Cypriniformes; Cyprinidae
Source: the annotation of a RefSeq genome assembly